This 253-nucleotide ribosomal RNA is filed under the name uncultured bacterium. RNAcentral's name for it is "partial 16S ribosomal RNA". It matches the Rfam family "Bacterial small subunit ribosomal RNA", at positions 524 to 776 of the family's 1533-position model. The record is from RNAcentral.
GACGUAGGUGGCAAGCGUUGUUCGGAAUCACUGGGCCUAAAGAGCACGUAGGCGGCUGGGUCAGUCGGGUGUGAAAUCCCUCGGCUCAACCGAGGAACUGCGCCCGAUACUGCCUGGCUUGAGUUCCGGAGGGGGGAGUGGAAUUCCCGGUGGAGCGGUGAACUGCGUAGAGAUCGGGAGGAACGCCGGCGGCGAAAGCGACUCUCUGGUCGGAUCCUGACGCUGAGGUGCGAAAGCUAGGGGAGCAAACGGG